AACAACUGUUUAACCUUGCGAACUGCUAUCAGGGUCCAACUGGAUCAUUCUAAAGAUCGUAUCAUUUCUGCUCUCCCAGAUGACCCACCAACAGGCUGCUAGUUCCGGAAGCCUAUUACACAAAGAUUGCGAAGUUUUCCAACCCGUCCACCUAUCCCAGAUCGAAUUAAUGCCGACUCCCAAUUCCGUAGACUGAACACCCUUCACAACCAUCAGUAAUACGAAUUUAGCAAAUACACAU
Molecule: long non-coding RNA, 241 nt
Filed under: Ananas comosus (pineapple)
Lineage: Eukaryota; Viridiplantae; Streptophyta; Magnoliopsida; Poales; Bromeliaceae
Description: long non-coding RNA (ACOM_LNC031890)
Source: RNAcentral